GAUGAACGCUGGCGGCGUGCCUAAUACAUGCAAGUCGAGCGAACGGACGAGAAGCUUGCAUCUCUGAUGUUAGCGGCGGACGGGUGAGUAACACGUGGAUAACCUACCUAUAAGACUGGGAUAACUUCGGGAAACCGGAGCUAAUACCGGAUAAUAUUUUGAACCGCAUGGUUCAAAAGUGAAAGACGGUCUUGCUGUCACUUAUAGAUGGAUCCGCGCUGCAUUAGCUAGUUGGUAAGGUAACGGCUUACCAAGGCAACGAUGCAUAGCCGACCUGAGAGGGUGAUCGGCCACACUGGAACUGAGACACGGUCCAGACUCCUACGGGAGGCAGCGGUAGGGAAUCUUCCGCAAUGGGCGAAAGCCUGACGGAGCAACGCCGCGUGAGUGAUGAAGGUCUUCGGAUCGUAAAACUCUGUUAUUAGGGAAGAACAUAUGUGUAAGUAACUGUGCACAUCUUGACGGUACCUAAUCAGAAAGCCACGGCUAACUACGUG
This 497-nucleotide ribosomal RNA is filed under the name uncultured bacterium. Its description in RNAcentral is "partial 16S ribosomal RNA". It matches the Rfam family "Bacterial small subunit ribosomal RNA", at positions 28 to 507 of the family's 1533-position model. The record is from RNAcentral.